CAAGGAAGUUUAAGGCAAUAACAGGUCUGUGAUGCCCUUAGAUGUCCUGGGCUGCACGCGCGCUACACUGAUGCGUUCAUCGAGUUUAUCCUUGGCCGAGAGGUCUGGGUAAUCUUUAGUACGCAUCGUGAUGGGGAUCGAUUAUUGCAAUUAUUAAUCGUGAACGAGGAAUGCCUAGUAUGCGCAAGUCAUCAGCUUGUGCAGAUUACGUCCCUG
RNAcentral lists this ribosomal RNA (216 nucleotides) under Theileria luwenshuni. RNAcentral describes it as "partial small subunit ribosomal RNA". It matches the Rfam family "Eukaryotic small subunit ribosomal RNA", at positions 1436 to 1655 of the family's 1831-position model. The record is from RNAcentral. Lineage: Eukaryota; Apicomplexa; Aconoidasida; Piroplasmida; Theileriidae.